UGGGUACAUAUCUAUGUUCCCUUGAAGAUGACUUUUGCUUCUUCCAUUUCCCUUGAUUUGUAGUAGUAUCCAUCUUAAUAGACUUGCCCAAUUUUUUUCAUGAAAUAAAAAUUGACCUACAGAAAUCAAAGUAAAAUUGAUGGUAUCUCAGACACAUCAAAGUAUGGUCUAAUUAUGCAUGCCAAAACUAAUAUGAAAACUAGAACUAGAAUUUGACUAGGAACUAAAUGAGGAUUAAACCAAAUGGAAUCAGAAGUUAAGUAAACACAUAUGACUACUAGGUUUUCUCAUAAGAGGACCCACUAAUGACACACCAAAGUCAAAGGAUAAAAUCUGUAGACACCUGUCAGGAAACCCCUCAGGGUUUAUUACAAAAAGAAGGGCAAGAAGGGAAAUAUGCACACCAAAAGGCAAAAUGGAAAAAACCCAGAACCAGCUAGGAUUAAGGUUGACAAACCCUAACGAGAUUCAUCUCAUCUUGCAGCCGAAACCUCUACCAUCCGUAAUUCAUCCCACGGUCAAUGCCACACUCAUCAUCAUCACACGAUUCUGGCAACAUGAUUCCACCAUGAAGAGCAUUUUUGUUUAUUGUAUUUAGGCUUAUAAAAGGGCCCUCUUCCAUAAGUUGUAAUCAUCGAAAAUCAAUAAUAAAAAAAAAGUACCUCUGUUUUCCUCUCUUUAACCUUCUUCAUCUUCUCUAUCUUCUUUUUUUUCUUAUUCUUCUCAUUAUUCUUAACAUAUCAGAGCCAUGUCUAAGGCUUCUAAAAAGAUGGUAUCAAAGCCUACACUGGCUAAAUCCUAUGCUGGUGACGUCAUGCGAACACGAUCGAAGGGGAAGGCCCCGAUAACUGAGCAAACAAAUCCUGAAACACUCACCAUUAAAAAAGUUGAUUCGAAACUAUCGAUGUUCAUGGAUGAAUCACGCUGACAGUUCAAUGUGAUAUGAUAGCUGCUCCAAGGCAGAAUCGUUGAUCAAACCAAAGGAAGUUCUGCGUGAUGAGAAGUCGAGACCCGUCCAAGCAGAGGCCUCCUACCUCCCAUGCACGACACGAGCUCAUAUUCGGUUAAACAAGGGUUACUGAUAAAAACAAGGCUAAAAACACUUAAGAUACUCAAAGAGCAUCAGAAGGUGACUUGGAGCAAAUUUCAAAUGGCGUAAACACAAAUACAGUUCCAAACCUGAAAAGUUUCAGCGGACCAGUAACAAGAUCAAAGGUAAAGAAGCUUAAAGAGUUGCUCCAAGUUUUUACUCAAAAACAUGUGGAUGAUGGGCUGGCCAAUUGUGGAAGUUUAAAUAUUAGCUUUUUGAACAGAUCAAAUUCGUAAUUUUAAUUGGAUUUAAAUGAAUUGGGAUAAUUUGUUCUUGUUUGAGUCUUAUUGAUAAUGGAUGAAUAAGCCUUGUGUAUGGGCUGGAUUAGUUGAGUUGUUUUAAGUAUUUUGGAUUGUUUUAUUUUAGUUUGAGUUAAUUAAUCCUAUAUAAUUAAGUAUGACUCAUUUUGGGCUUAAGUCUUGUCUUAGUGUUAUUACAAGAAUGAGCCCAUAACUAUGUGGUGCCACAAACAAUUAGUGGUGUUGGUUAAGAAGAUUGGAGUUACAAGGAGUUACAUGACAAUUACAUGCCUAUAAUUAGCCUAGUUAUUGUUGGAGUUACAAUUGUAAUUACCACAUAAUUAACCUAGUUAUUGUGGGAGUUACAAUUGUAGUUAUUGUAU
RNAcentral lists this long non-coding RNA (1712 nucleotides) under Carica papaya (papaya). RNAcentral's name for it is "long non-coding RNA (CPAP_LNC004426)". Lineage: Eukaryota; Viridiplantae; Streptophyta; Magnoliopsida; Brassicales; Caricaceae. The record is from RNAcentral.